UAUGCCGUAGUCUAAUAGGUAGGACAUAAAUUUUUGGUAUUUAUAAGUAGGUGUUCGAAUCACCUCGGCAUAA
This 73-nucleotide transfer RNA is filed under the name Claviceps africana. It matches the Rfam family "tRNA". Rfam says of the family: Transfer RNA (tRNA) molecules are approximately 80 nucleotides in length. Their secondary structure includes four short double-helical elements and three loops (D, anti-codon, and T loops). Further hydrogen bonds mediate the characteristic L-shaped molecular structure. tRNAs have two regions of fundamental functional importance: the anti-codon, which is responsible for specific mRNA codon recognition, and the 3' end, to which the tRNAs corresponding amino acid is attached (by aminoacyl-tRNA synthetases). tRNAs cope with the degeneracy of the genetic code in two manners: having more than one tRNA (with a specific anti-codon) for a particular amino acid; and 'wobble' base-pairing, i.e. permitting non-standard base-pairing at the 3rd anti-codon position. RNAcentral also lists the same sequence under 2 other names. The record is from Rfam by way of RNAcentral. Lineage: Eukaryota; Fungi; Ascomycota; Sordariomycetes; Hypocreales; Clavicipitaceae.